This 440-nucleotide ribosomal RNA is filed under the name uncultured bacterium. RNAcentral's name for it is "partial 16S ribosomal RNA". It matches the Rfam family "Bacterial small subunit ribosomal RNA", at positions 338 to 795 of the family's 1533-position model. The record is from RNAcentral.
CCUACGGGUGGCAGCAGUGGGGGAUAUUGCACAAUGGGGGAAACCCUGCUGCAGCGACGCCGCGUGUGGGAAGACGGUCCUCUGGAUUGUAAACCACUGUCCCCAGGGACGAAGAUGACGGUACCUGGGGAGGAAGCCCCGGCUAACUACGUGCCAGCAGCCGCGGUACUACGUAGGGAGCGAGCGUUGUCCGGAAUUACUGGGUGUAAAGGGAGCGUAGGCGGGACUGCAAGUUGGGUGUCAAAUCUACCGGCUCAACCGGUAGCCGCACUCAAAACUGCAGUUCUUGAGUGAAGUAGAGGUAGGCGGAAUUCCUAGUGUAGCGGUGAAAUGCGUAGAUAUUAGGAGGAACACCAGUGGCGAAGGCGGCCUGCUGGGCUUUUACUGACGCUGAGGCUCGAAAGUGUGGGGACCAAACAGGAUUAGAUACCCCUGUAGUC